RNAcentral lists this ribosomal RNA (857 nucleotides) under uncultured bacterium. RNAcentral's name for it is "bacterial SSU rRNA". It matches the Rfam family "Bacterial small subunit ribosomal RNA", at positions 10 to 897 of the family's 1533-position model. The record is from RNAcentral.
AGUUUGAUCCUGGCUCAGAACGAACGUUGGCGGCGUGGAUUAGGCAUGCAAGUCGAGGGAAUCCCAGCAAUGGGGGAACCGGCGUAAGGGGCAGUAAUGCGUGGGUAACCUGCCCCGGGGUUCGGGAUAGCCUCUCGAGAGAGAGGGUAAUACCGGAUGACAUCGUGAGAUCAAAGCUCCGGCGCCCUGGGAGGGGCCCACGUGGUAUUAGCUAGUUGGUGGGGUAAUGGCCUACCAAGGCGAAGAUGCCUAGCGGGUGUGAGAGCACGACCCGCGCCACUGGCACUGAGACACUGGCCAGACACCUACGGGUGGCUGCAGUCGAGAAUCUUCGGCAAUGGGCGCAAGCCUGACCGAGCGACGCCGCGUGUGCGAUGAAGGCCUUCGGGUUGUAAAGCACUGUCGAGGGGGAGAAAAGCCCGCAAGGGUGUGAUCUAUCCCUGGAGGAAGCACGGGCUAAGUUCGUGCCAGCAGCCGCGGUAAGACGAACCGUGCGAACGUUGUUCGGAAUCACUGGGCUUAAAGGGUGCGUAGGCGGGCUGCCAAGUCUGGGGUGAAAUCCCACGGCUCAACCGUGGAACUGCCCUGGAUACUGGCGGCCUCGAGGGAGGUAGGGGCAUGCGGAACUACGCGUGGAGCGGUGAAAUGCGUUGAUAUGCAUAGGAACUCCGGUGGCGAAGGCGGCGUGCUGGACCUCUUCUGACGCUGANGCGCGAAAGCCAGGGGAGCAAACGGGAUUAGAUACCCCGGUAGUCCUGGCCCUAAACGUUGAGAACUAGGUAGUAGGCUAGACAUGGGCUUACUGCCGAAGCAAAAGUGCUAAGUUCUCCGCCUGGGGAGUAUGGUCGCAAGGCUGA